UACGUAGGGUGCAAGCGUUAAUCGGAAUUACUGGGCGUAAAGCGUGCGCAGGCGGUUGUGCAAGACCGAUGUGAAAUCCCCGGGCUUAAACUGGGAAUGGCAUUGGUGACUGCACGGCUAGAGUGUGUCAGAGGGGGGUAGAAUUCCACGUGUAGCAGUGAAAUGCGUAGAGAUGUGGAGGAAUACCGAUGGCGAAGGCAGCCCCCUGGGAUAACACUGACGCUCAUGCACGAAAGCGUGGGGAGCAAACAGG
Molecule: ribosomal RNA, 253 nt
Filed under: uncultured bacterium
Lineage: Bacteria
Description: partial 16S ribosomal RNA
Rfam family: Bacterial small subunit ribosomal RNA
Source: RNAcentral